This 240-nucleotide unclassified non-coding RNA is filed under the name soil metagenome. RNAcentral's name for it is "partial contains 5.8S ribosomal RNA, internal transcribed spacer 2, and large subunit ribosomal RNA". The record is from RNAcentral.
AACGGUCUAUACCUGCGGUACCUGCGGUAGGAUCAUUAAUGAGAAACUGCCCCUCGCGGGUAGAUCUCCCACCCUUUGUAAACUUACCUUUGUUGCUUUGGCAGGCCCGUCUCCGGACCGCCGGCUUCGGCUGGCCAGUGCCUGCCAGAGGAUUCUAAAACUCUGUCUGUCAGUGUUGUCUGAGUCUAUAUACAAUCGUUAAAACUUUCAACAACGGAUCUCUAGAUCGGAAGAGCACAC